RNAcentral lists this transfer RNA (71 nucleotides) under bacterium. RNAcentral's name for it is "tRNA-Ile". It matches the Rfam family "tRNA". From Rfam's summary of the family: Transfer RNA (tRNA) molecules are approximately 80 nucleotides in length. The record is from RNAcentral.
GCGCCCAUAGCUCAAUGGUAGAGCGACCGUCUUAUACACGGUCUACCCAGGUCCGAUUCCUGGUGGGCGUA